UGACAUCUACGGAAGAUUGCAGAGAUGCGAUUGUGCCUUCGGGAACCGUAAGACAGGUGCUGCAUGGCUGUCGUCAGCUCGUGUUGUGAAAUGUUGGGUUAAGUCCCGCAACGAGCGCAACCCUUAUCCUUAGUUGCCAGCACGUAAUGGUGGGAACUCUAGGGAGACUGCCGGUGAUAAACCGGAGGAAGGUGGGGACGACGUCAAGUCAUCAUGGCCCUUACGAGUAGGGCUACACACGUGCUACAAUGGUAUGUACAGAGGGAGGCAAGCUGGCGACAGUGAGCGGAUCUCAUAAAGCAUAUCGUAGUCCGGAUUGGAGUCUGCAACUCGACUCCAUGAAGUCGGAAUCGCUAGUAAUCGUGAAUCAGAAUGUCACGGUGAAUACGUUCC
RNAcentral lists this ribosomal RNA (393 nucleotides) under uncultured bacterium. RNAcentral's name for it is "bacterial SSU rRNA". It matches the Rfam family "Bacterial small subunit ribosomal RNA", at positions 982 to 1374 of the family's 1533-position model. The record is from RNAcentral.